GAUGGAAAGCAUUCCCGAUGCCCUUCAUGUGCUGCAAGGAGACGGCAGGAGAAAAAGAGACAGACGGGACACAGAGGAUAUCGCUUUUGUCCUUCAUCUGCCCCAACAAUCCUCGCCUUCUGCUCCAUUACGGAUGAGCGUCGAGUCCCGAAGACGCUCGCAGGGCCGCGCGGCUUGAACAACCGUACUUGGUUUUCUGAAAAUUGCCCCUCGUGCGAGCGCGAGCUGACGGCGUGCCCACUGGCACCAUCUUCACAGGGAGCGCGGGUCCAGGAUUUCCCUCGUGGCGCCUUGGCAUUUACCCACAGUGUUGCUCGAGUCCCUCAGUUCUGUGACCUAUGACCACUUCUAGAAGAUUCUUCUGGUUUGUUCAUCCAUAACUGGCGAAUACCCGCUCCUCCGUCCACCAUCAACCUCCAGUGACCUCCGUACUCCUCCAGUCAUCUGUACCUGACCGGACACCUCCAACCCCCACAAGCUACCUAAGCUCCAGUGAACUAACUUCCCCUCCCUGGCAGAACAUCCUCCUCUCACCAGUAAGCUAAAAAUCAGUCGUCACACAUUCUCUGUAGAGAACUUUAAAGUGAAAACGUUAAAAUCCAAUUCAGCAUUUAUUUAAAAUAACUUCAAUAACAUUUUGAUCCAAAUUAUUUUGGGUGUUUACAUAUCUUUCUGUAACUUAUAAGCUUCAGAAAGUCCCAGGCAAGUAUGUAGGAGUAGCUUCGUAAAAACAAUAAGAAUGAAAACGUUCACAAAUAAUGAACGAGCUGUUUUUGAGAUCAAAGAUCACGCAGGGUAAGGAAUUUGAAACAGUGGCUUCCAUGGCAACACAUCAACACAUGAAGCGAUGACAGGAAGGCAUUCAGUGAGAUGGAGACGGGUUGAAGGACAGAAAACGAGGAGAGAGCGAGGAUGAUCGGAGGAAGAGCCGGGAGAGAUGCUGCGCUCGCCUCUGGCCCCCGUGGCUGCAUCUGAUGCUCUAAGUGUGCCGCCGCGAACACGCUCCCGUCUUUGUCUCCUCCAGAGGAGAGCGAGGGUACAGCCAAUCAGCACCAAGGAAAAUAAAUGCGACCAACAGCUUGGCAGGGAGUGAAAUCUGUGCAUCGGGGGCAGCAGUUGGAGCAAAGAGCUUCACUCCAGAGGCCUGUUGGGCGACGAGACCUGGGGCUUGCCUGAAGGCAUGGCCGGUCUGGAGGAGCCCUUAGCUGGGCAGCAGCUAAAUAAAAGAUGGGAGGGAAGUGUCAGUCUGUGAGGCCAGGAGCGGAUGGAGGGGCCCUCAUUAGUUUCAUCUGAAGGAAACAAACUGAUGUUAGGUUUGACAGCAGAAAGAUGAAAACCAAAGUCUCCUUUUGGGCUUUGAUAAAAACAAUACGAAACUUUAUUACCUAAUUGUGGUUAUUGUUUCUGAUUUAAUCUUUGAUUCCUGACGAUUAGAGUUAUUGCUCUUCCUCUUAACAAACCCUCACGCCCUCUUGUUCAGAAAAGUAGCAGGGUCUGCACCAAAAUAACAUCACAGGACUGUGCCGUGCAGCCCCUCACGAACUCGAGGUCUGGGCUGGUCUCCAUUUGCGUAGUCCAAGAGGACCUUUGGUGUCAGACGGAGCGACCUACAUGCUCCGGCUAUGAUUAUAUGAGGGUGGGGAAGAGGUGUUGUU
Xiphophorus couchianus (Monterrey platyfish) is the source of this 1655-nucleotide long non-coding RNA. RefSeq lists it as uncharacterized. The transcript has 7 exons. NCBI's taxonomy places the organism in Eukaryota, Metazoa, Chordata, Actinopteri, Cyprinodontiformes, Poeciliidae. The record is from RefSeq and is a predicted model, not a curated record.